Molecule: ribosomal RNA, 934 nt
Filed under: uncultured Neocallimastigales
Lineage: Eukaryota; Fungi; Neocallimastigomycota; Neocallimastigomycetes; Neocallimastigales
Description: partial large subunit ribosomal RNA
Rfam family: Eukaryotic large subunit ribosomal RNA
Source: RNAcentral
GCAUCUGUGCAUGCAGCAUAUCAAUAAGCGGAGGAAAAGAAACUAACAAGGAUUCCCUUAGUAACGGCGAGUGAAGCGGGAAGAGCUCAAAUUUGAAAUCUUCAAGGUUUUACCUUGACGAAUUGUAGUUUAAAGAAGUGUUUUCUGUUGAAGUUUUGGUAAAAGUUCUUUGGAAUAGGACAUCAUAGAGGGUGAGAAUCCCGUAUUUGACCAUUAUUUUCAGCUGUGUGAUACACUUUCAAAGAGUCGGAUUGUUUGGGAAUGCAGUCCAAAAUGGGUGGUAAAUUUCAUCUAAGGCUAAAUAUUGGCGAGAGACCGAUAGCGAACAAGUACCGUGAGGGAAAGAUGAAAAGAACUUUGAAAAGAGAGCUAAACAGUACGUGAAAUUGUCAAAAGGGAAGCGUUUGACACCAGUGUUGUUUUCUCGAAAAUCAAUUAAAAAGAGUUAGAUUUUGUUGUGUAUUGACCUUAACAGCUUGCAUUUCAAUUUUCUUGCUUUUUUUAAUGCACUUUUCGUUUAACAAGUCAACAUCAGUUUCUUUUGUUGUAAAAAGGUCAUUGGAAGGUGGCUUUCUUUUCGGAGAAAGUGUUUAUAGCCUUUGACUCCUGCAAUCGGAGAGACUGAGGUCUGCAGCGUAGAUCCUUCGGGGUUAGAUACAUUUGUGCUAAGUUAUAGCUUUUUAUAGACAACUUGUUGACUAUGAUUAGUCUUGUGACUUACUCGCUUAUGCUAUUUUACCUACGCUUAGGAUGUUGACGCGCGUGUGUGCGUGAGUCUAUACAUGACUCUGCGCAUAUCAAUAAGCGGAGGAAAAGGUACCUACGCUUAGGAUGUUGACGAGACUGUCGAUCUCAUCUAUACAUGAGUCUGUGCAUAUCAAUAAGCGGAGGAAAAGGUACCUACGCUUAGGAUGUUGACGCAUGAGAUAUACGC